AGGAAAGGCCACAUCACGCCGAUCGCACCGCAUCACCACAUCCCGUCCGCUCUGUGAAGCAAAGCGCCGUUGGGCCAGGCUACAGCAGUAGUAGAAGUACUACGGUGGGGAACACGUGGGAAGCCCCGGUGUUGUUCCUU
This 140-nucleotide ribosomal RNA is filed under the name Ectocarpus siliculosus. The record is from RNAcentral. Lineage: Eukaryota; Phaeophyceae; Ectocarpales; Ectocarpaceae.